AGUGAACGCUGGCGGCAGGCCUAACACAUGCAAGUCGAACGGCAGCACGGCAGUAGCAAUACUGUGGGUGGCGAGUGGUGGACGGGUGAGGAAUACAUCGGGAUCUACCCUGUUGUGGGGGAUAACGUAGGGAAACUUACGCUAAUACCGCAUAAGAACUGAGGUUGAAAGCGGCGGACCGCAAGGCGUCGCGCGAUUGGAUGAACCGAUGUCCGAUUAGCUAGUUGGCGGGGUAAAGGCCCACCAAGGCGACGAUCGGUAGCUGGGUCUGAGAGGACGACCAGCCACACUGGAACUGAGACACGGUCCAGACUCCUACGGAGGCAGCAGUGGGAAUAUUGGACAAUGGGCGCAAGCCUGAUCCAGCCAUGCCGCGUGGUGAAGAA
This 386-nucleotide ribosomal RNA is filed under the name uncultured bacterium. Its description in RNAcentral is "bacterial SSU rRNA". It matches the Rfam family "Bacterial small subunit ribosomal RNA", at positions 29 to 412 of the family's 1533-position model. The record is from RNAcentral.